RNA transcript from Symphalangus syndactylus (siamang), 2283 nucleotides. It is a transcript of the gene named general transcription factor II-I-like, with no coding region annotated. NCBI's taxonomy places the organism in Eukaryota, Metazoa, Chordata, Mammalia, Primates, Hylobatidae. The record is from RefSeq and is a predicted model, not a curated record.
GGUUUUUGCAGCCGGGCAAUCUUCUCAGCGUGUAGCCUGGUAACCCUUACCUCUCUGCCAGGUCGUGUGUGUUGCUGGCUGGAGAAGGGUAGUUGAAAACUCAGACCAAGCACAGUGUUUAUGUUGGUCAAAACUAGAAGACUAUGUCCGGGCGCAGCCGAGGCUGGAGGAUCCCUUCAGGCCAAGAGCAGCCUACCAAUAUGGCACGACCGGAUCUCUGUAGUCCUACCUCAGCCCCCCAGCUACUUGAACCCCAAGGUUCGAGGCUCCAAUGAGCUAUGAUCCCACCACAGCAUUGCAGCCUGCCAGACUGAGAAAUGGAGUUUCACCAUGUUGGCAAGGCUGGUCUCGAAUUCCUGACCUCAAGUGAUCCACCCACCUCAGCCUCCCAAAGUGCUGGGAUUACAGGCAUGAGCCACCAUGCCCGGCCCCUUCAGCUGGAGUUUCACGUUUGUCGCCCAUGCUGGAGUAUGAUCCUGGCUCACUGCAAUCUCUGCCUCCGAGGUUCAAGCGAUUCUCUUAGCUCAGCCUCCUGAGCAGCUGGGAUGACAGGCACCUGCCACAACGCCUGGCUAAUUUUUGUAUGUUUAGUAGAGAUGGGGUUUCACCAUGUUGGCCAGGCUGGUCUUGAACUCCUGACUUCAUGAUCUAUCUGCCUCAGCCUUCCAAAGUGUUGAGAUUACAGACAUGAACUUAUGAAUUCAACACAUGAAGACUUACAACUUGAUAAACCAGCUUUAGGAGAUUGAGAAAACUUGUAUUCCUGUGAUUUCGAUAGUGAAGGAAGUAUGGUAUACCAGAAUCACUAAAUUAUGAAAGAUGGUGGAUCAGCUUUUUGCAAAAAAAUUUGCUGAAGCCUUGGGGAGCACUGAAGCCAAGGCGGUACCAUACCAAAAAUUUGAAACACAUGUGAAUGAGCUGAAUGUGGAAGGACUACCGGAAAACAUUCCUUUCAGAAGCCCCUCAUUGCAUGGAAUCCCAAGGCUCGAAAGCAUCUUUCAAGUGGGCAAUCGAAUUAAGUUUGUUAUUAAGAGGCUGGAGUGCAGUGGCAUGAUUUCAGCUCACUGCAACAUUUGCCUCCCGGGUUCAAGCAAUUCUCCUGCCUCAUCCUCCUGAGUAGCUGGGAUUACAGGUGCAUGCCACCAUGCCAGGCCAAUUUUUGUAUUUCUAGAAGAAAUGGGAUUUCACCAUGUUGGCCAGGUUGGUCUCAAACUCCUGACUUUCUCAUGCACCCACUUUGGCCUCCCGAAGUGUUGGGAUUACAGGUGUGAACCACCACACCUUGCCCUCAGCAUGCUUUCAAUUUAGCCAAAGAAUCAAAGCAUUGGUGAAGAAUUGAAGAUUGGAAGUUACACAUUUCUUGCUAAGGGAAGUAAUAGAGAAAGAAAAAUAUUCCUGGAGGUAGAUCUUCAGUUUGCAUUAGUCUGAAGAUGAUGAAACCUGUAGAAAACUUCAUUUCUGAAGACAAAGCUCAAAUUCAAGGUUGUGAGGAGUGCAGUCACCAUUUUUGUUAAGGGCAGUUGUGACAGUUAUUGCAGAAAGUGAGAAUGUGAAACCUGUACUAUAUAAAGAAUGUUCAAGUGUCGUAGAAGACACUGCAAGGAUUGCGUGCUGGAGCAGUGCUGGACUUGCCAUCAUCACCAGAGUACAGCAGGUGCCACCAGAAGGAGAAUCUUCUUCUUGCCAUCACUAACAGCACUUGACUCUGUCCCACUCAUAAAAGACCUUGGAAGGAAUUAAAGGUGCUUGGUGGUUCCUCAUUUUAACAUAACCUUACUUGGCCUGACUGUGGACCAUGCAUUAGUGUUUGGACAGGACAAUUAAAAUCACAGAGCACAUGACAAAAGAAUUUUGUGGCCAUCAGAACUGUCUCCUUAAACACACCAUGGGUGCACUGUGUCCUCAGCUUGGUGAAAGGUAGAUGUCAUACGUGAGAAGGCAGUGGAGCCAGGCAAAUGAUGGAGACUCGAAGAGUGGGAGGUGGCACCUGGCUGUGUGAGGAGGGCGUGAAGUCCUCCAUGGGAGGAACAUAUGCCAGCAAAGGAGGUAAGGAUGGGCAGAAGAGGAGGCUGAGCAGCAAGUGAAUAGAAGCGCUCGACCUCAGAGGAGGAGAGUCCCAUGUCUUUAUUGGUAGUAUUCUAAUGUGUUCAUACUGGAGUUAUUUUCUGUGGCUGAAUGGUCCAGCUACUGAAAUGGGUGUGGGGUGGGGAACAACUCCUACUAAACCUUUUAGAUGCUGAGUUUUCUUUUAAAGUAAAGGACAUAUUAUAAGAUUUUCUGAAA